UUUAAAGUCUGACCUGCCCAAUGAGAGUUUGAAUGGCCGCGGUAAUUUGACCGUGCAAAGGUAGCAUAAUCAUUAGUUUUUUAAUUGGAAGCUGGAAUGAACGGUUGGACGAGGGAAUGACUGUCUCAAUUUAAUUUAAUUAGAAUUUUAUUUUUAAGUAAAAAAGCUUAAAUAAUUUUAAAAGACGAGAAGACCCUAUAGAGUUUUAUAUUAAUAUUUAAGUUGGUAAUUAAGAAUUAAUUAUUUAGCUUAAGUGUGAGUAUUUUGUUGGGGUGACAGAAAAAUUUAAUUAACUUUUUUUUUAUUAAAUCAUUAAUUUAUGGUUGAAUGAUCCGUUAAAGAACGAUUAUAAGAUUAAAUUACCUUAGGGAUAACAGCGUAAUUCUUUUUGAGAGUUCUAAUCGAAAAAAGAGUUUGCGACCUCGAUGUUGGAUUAAAAUUAAUUUUUGGUGUAGGGGCUAAAAGAUUAGGUCUGUUCGACCUUUAAAAUUUUACAUGAUCUGAGUUUAAACCGGCGUGAGCCAGGUUGGUUUCUAUCUUUAAAUAAGAAGGAUAUCUUAGUACGAAAGGACCUGAUAUUCAUUAUAUUAAUUUAUUUUUGAUUAUUAUUG
RNAcentral lists this ribosomal RNA (611 nucleotides) under Euthora sp. BMNH 671497. RNAcentral's name for it is "partial 16S large subunit ribosomal RNA". It matches the Rfam family "Bacterial large subunit ribosomal RNA", at positions 1844 to 2735 of the family's 2925-position model. The record is from RNAcentral. Lineage: Eukaryota; Metazoa; Arthropoda; Insecta; Coleoptera; Scarabaeidae.